RNAcentral lists this ribosomal RNA (238 nucleotides) under uncultured bacterium. Its description in RNAcentral is "partial 16S ribosomal RNA". It matches the Rfam family "Bacterial small subunit ribosomal RNA", at positions 100 to 334 of the family's 1533-position model. The record is from RNAcentral.
UGGGCGGGACGGGUGAGUAAUGUCUGGGAAACGUGCCUGAGGGAGGGGGAUAACUACUGGAAACGGUAGCUAAUACCGCAUAACGUCGCAAGACCAAAGAGGGGGACCUUCGGGCCUCUUGCCAUCGGAUGUGCCCAGAUGGGAUUAGCUAGUAGGUGGGGUAACGGCUCACCUAGGCGACGAUCCCUAGCUGGUCUGAGAGGAUGACCAGCCACACUGGAACUGAGACACGGUCCAG